This 871-nucleotide ribosomal RNA is filed under the name uncultured archaeon. RNAcentral describes it as "bacterial SSU rRNA". It matches the Rfam family "Archaeal small subunit ribosomal RNA", at positions 13 to 879 of the family's 1478-position model. The record is from RNAcentral.
CCUGCCCGGCGGACACCGCUAAUAAGGAAUUCGAAUUAAAGAACAAUGCGAGUCGAAAAGUCGUAAUGGACUCGGCGCACUGCUCAGUAACACGUGGAUAACAUACCCUAAAGUGGAGCAUAAUCUCGGAAAACUGAGGAUAAUACUCCAUAGGUCACGAGAUCUGGAAAGACUUGUGGCUCAAAGUUCCGGCGCUUUAGGAUUGGUCUGCGGCCUAUCAGGUAGUAGUGGGUGUAACGGACCCACUAGCCGAUGACGGGUAUGGGCCUUGAGAGAGGGAGCCCAGAGAUGGAUUCUGAGACACGAAUCCAGGCCCUACGGGGCGCAGCAGUCGCGAAAACUUCACAAUGGAGGCAACUCCGAUGAGGGAAUUCCUAGUGCCAAUGCAUUUUGUGUUGGCUUUUCUUCAGCGUAGAUAACUGUUGGAAUAAGGGCUGGGUAAGACGGGUGCCAGCCGCCGCGGUAAUACCCGCAGCCCAAGUGGUGGUCGAUAUUAUUGAGUCUAAAACGUUCGUAGCCGGUUCAAUAAAUCUCUGGGUAAAUCGGGGGGCUUAACCUUCCGAAUUCCGGAGAGACUGUUGAACUUGGGACCGGGAGAGGCGAGAGGUACUUCUGGGGUAGGGGUAAAAUCCUGUAAUCCUAGAAGGACCACCGGUGGCGAAGGCGUCUUGCUAGAACGGAUCCGACGGUGAGGGACGAAGCCCUGGGUCGCAAACGGGAUUAGAUACCCCGGUAGUCCAGGGUGUAAACGCUGCAGACUUGGUGUUGGGAACCCUUCGGGGGUGCUCAGUGCCGGAGAGAAGUUGUUAAGUCUGCUACUUGGGGAGUACGUCCGCAAGGAUGAAACUUAAAGGAAUUGGCGGGGGAGCAC